UAGGAAGUGGUGUAAUGGAAGCACUAAGAACUUUGAUUUCUUAAGUAUUGGUUCAAAUCCUUUCUUUCUAA
RNAcentral lists this transfer RNA (71 nucleotides) under Danionella mirifica. RNAcentral's name for it is "tRNA-Gln". It matches the Rfam family "tRNA". From Rfam's summary of the family: Transfer RNA (tRNA) molecules are approximately 80 nucleotides in length. Their secondary structure includes four short double-helical elements and three loops (D, anti-codon, and T loops). Further hydrogen bonds mediate the characteristic L-shaped molecular structure. tRNAs have two regions of fundamental functional importance: the anti-codon, which is responsible for specific mRNA codon recognition, and the 3' end, to which the tRNAs corresponding amino acid is attached (by aminoacyl-tRNA synthetases). tRNAs cope with the degeneracy of the genetic code in two manners: having more than one tRNA (with a specific anti-codon) for a particular amino acid; and 'wobble' base-pairing, i.e. permitting non-standard base-pairing at the 3rd anti-codon position. The record is from RNAcentral. Lineage: Eukaryota; Metazoa; Chordata; Actinopteri; Cypriniformes; Danionidae.